This 254-nucleotide ribosomal RNA is filed under the name uncultured bacterium. Its description in RNAcentral is "partial 16S ribosomal RNA". It matches the Rfam family "Bacterial small subunit ribosomal RNA", at positions 524 to 776 of the family's 1533-position model. The record is from RNAcentral.
UACGGGGGGGGGUAAGCGUUGUUCGGAAUUACUGGGCGUAAAGCGUGCGCAGGCGGCUAUGCAAGACAGAUGUGAAAUCCCCGGGCUUAACCUGGGAACUGCAUUUGUGACUGCAUGGCUAGAGUACGGUAGAGGGGGAUGGAAUUCCGCGUGUAGCAGUGAAAUGCGUAGAUAUGCGGAGGAACACCGAUGGCGAAGGCAAUCCCCUGGACCUGUACUGACGCUCAUGCACGAAAGCGUGGGGAGCAAACAGG